CUGCAGAUGACACACGCGAUCUUCACCACCCAACCAAAACCACAACGUGAAUUUGCAAUAGGGGAGGAAAAAAGAACCAAAACUUCCAAGGCCCUGCUUUUUUUUCUUAAAAGUACUUUAAAAAAGGAAAAUUUGUAUUUUUUAUUUACAUUUUAUAUUUUUGUAUAUAUUGUUAGGGGUCAGCCUUUUUUAAUGAUCUCGGUUGACCAAACCAGCCUUUG
This 221-nucleotide long non-coding RNA is filed under the name Marmota monax (woodchuck). The record is from RNAcentral. Lineage: Eukaryota; Metazoa; Chordata; Mammalia; Rodentia; Sciuridae.